UACGAAGGUGGCAAGCGUUGUUCGGAUUUACUGGGCGUACAGGGAGCGUAGGCGGUUGGAUAAGCCCUCCGUGAAAUCUCCAGGCUUAACCUGGAAAGUGCAGAGGGGACUGUUCAGCUAGAGGAUGGGAGAGGAGCGCGGAACUCCCGGUGUAGCGGUGAAAUGCGUAGAGAUCGGGAGGAAGGCCGGUGGCGAAGGCGGCGCUCUGGAACAUUUCUGACGCUGAGGCUCGAAAGCGUGGGGAGCAAACAGG
RNAcentral lists this ribosomal RNA (253 nucleotides) under uncultured bacterium. Its description in RNAcentral is "partial 16S ribosomal RNA". It matches the Rfam family "Bacterial small subunit ribosomal RNA", at positions 524 to 776 of the family's 1533-position model. The record is from RNAcentral.